This 109-nucleotide non-coding RNA is filed under the name Pseudovibrio sp. Its description in RNAcentral is "TPP sequence". It matches the Rfam family "TPP riboswitch aptamer (THI element)". Rfam says of the family: Vitamin B(1) in its active form thiamin pyrophosphate (TPP) is an essential coenzyme that is synthesised by coupling of pyrimidine and thiazole moieties in bacteria. The previously detected thiamin-regulatory element, thi box was extended, resulting in a new, highly conserved RNA secondary structure, the THI element, which is widely distributed in eubacteria and also occurs in some archaea. Analysis of operon structures identified a large number of new candidate thiamin-regulated genes, mostly transporters, in various prokaryotic organisms. Lineage: Bacteria; Pseudomonadati; Pseudomonadota; Alphaproteobacteria; Hyphomicrobiales; Stappiaceae. The record is from RNAcentral.
UGCCAUUCCGAGGGGUGCUUUUCUUGACGAAAAGCUGAGAUUGCCACGAGCUAAACCCUUUGAACCUGAUCCGGGUAAUGCCGGCGAAGGGACGGGACCUGAGCCAUUC